CCUACGGGUGGCAGCAGUGGGGGAUAUUGCACAAUGGGGGAAACCCUGAUGCAGCGACGCCGCGUGGGUGAAGAAGUAUUUCGGUAUGUAAAGCCCUAUCAGCAGGGAAGAAAGAAGACGGUACCUGACUAAGAAGCCCCGGCUAACUACGUGCCAGCAGCCGCGGUAAUACGUAGGGGGCGAGCGUUAUCCGGAUUCACUGGGUGUAAAGGGAGCGUAGACGGCCGUGCAAGCCAGGAGUGAAAGCCCGGGGCCCAACCCCGGAACUGCUCUUGGACCUGUGCGGCUGGAGUGCGGGAGGGGUAGGCGGAAUUCCUGGUGUAGCGGUGAAAUGCGUAGAUAUCAGGAGGAACACCGGCGGCGAAGGCGGCCUGCUGGACCGCGACUGACGUUGAGGCUCGAAAGCGUGGGGAGCGAACAGGAUUAGAUACCCCAGUAGUC
RNAcentral lists this ribosomal RNA (441 nucleotides) under uncultured bacterium. Its description in RNAcentral is "partial 16S ribosomal RNA". It matches the Rfam family "Bacterial small subunit ribosomal RNA", at positions 338 to 795 of the family's 1533-position model. The record is from RNAcentral.